This 332-nucleotide ribosomal RNA is filed under the name uncultured eukaryote. Its description in RNAcentral is "partial 18S ribosomal RNA". It matches the Rfam family "Eukaryotic small subunit ribosomal RNA", at positions 1470 to 1796 of the family's 1831-position model. The record is from RNAcentral.
CUCUUAGAUGUUCUGGGCCGCACGCGCGCUACACUGUUCGACGCAGCGAGUCUUAACCUUGACCGAAAGGUUUGGGUAAUCUUCAGCAAAGUCGAACGUGAUGGGGAUCGAUCAUUGCAAUUAUUGAUCGUGAACGAGGAAUUCCUAGUAAGUGCAAGUCAUCAGCUUGCGCUGAUUACGUCCCUGCCCUUUGUACACACCGCCCGUCGCUACUACCGAUUGAAUGGUUUAGUGAGAUCUCUGGAUUGACGCUGGCUAGGGGGCGACCCUUGGCCAGACUGCUCGAGAAACUGCUCAAACUUGAUCAUUUAGAGGAAGUAAAAGUCGUAACA